GGCCCCGAGAGGGGCGUUGUUCGCUUCCCAGGAGGAAGCCAGCGCGAGGUUCCUCGGGGAAUGGCGACCAGUAUCCUUCAGAAAAGACACCUGAGGAGGAAGAAGAAUUGUUACACUUCUUAAAAUCAAGGUUCAGGCCAGUUGUCCUCCAGAAAAGCAUCCCUGAAAAAGAAGAACUAUUACACAUCUUAAA
This is a long non-coding RNA of Lemur catta (Ring-tailed lemur), 193 nucleotides long. RefSeq lists it as uncharacterized. NCBI's taxonomy places the organism in Eukaryota, Metazoa, Chordata, Mammalia, Primates, Lemuridae. The transcript is spliced from 3 exons. The record is from RefSeq and is a predicted model, not a curated record.